ACGUGUGUACCACAUCAUCUCCACCAGAUCUCGGUGACGACCUUUUAAUCGGUGGCUUCGAUUCUCUAUGACUUGUAUAUAUACAAUAUAUAUAUAUAUAUAUAUAUCAGAGGUUUUUUUUGCAGUCUCUCUGCCGAAAUUAAAAUCCACAACAAUGAAUUUGGUUCUCUAUAAAAUUUGAUCACGUUUCUCUUGACCGCGUAUACGACUACAACGCGCAGCUUGUGGUAGUAGGAAAAAAAAUUGUUUUUCUCGUUGUGAAUGACGAUACAGAAAACACACAAAAACUCACGCACACACAUACACACACACACAUACAAGCCCAAAUAUAAGUGUACAAAAAACGACUUUUUAGAUUUUUACGAUUAGCUCACGUUUUUAAUUUCGUCUUUUCGCGACCUUUGCGUUCUAUGGAUUCGUAUAUAUAGUUUAAGGUAUGUGUGAGUGUGUGUAUGUGUGUGUGUGUGUGUGUGUGUGUGUGUGUGUGUGUAACCGCUAAAUUCGACUUUACAAUAUUUAUUGUAUUUGUUACGACUGGAAAAAAAGGACGUGCACG
Non-coding RNA from Cinara cedri, 556 nucleotides. The record is from the annotation of a GenBank genome assembly. NCBI's taxonomy places the organism in Eukaryota, Metazoa, Arthropoda, Insecta, Hemiptera, Aphididae.